Molecule: ribosomal RNA, 525 nt
Filed under: uncultured bacterium
Lineage: Bacteria
Description: partial 16S ribosomal RNA
Rfam family: Bacterial small subunit ribosomal RNA
Source: RNAcentral
UGGGGAAUUUUGGACAAUGGGCGAAAGCCUGAUCCAGCAAUGCCGCGUGUGUGAAGAAGGCCUUCGGGUUGUAAAGCACUUUUGUCCGGAAAGAAAUCCUUGGCUCUAAUACAGUCGGGGGAUGACGGUACCGGAAGAAUAAGCACCGGCUAACUACGUGCCAGCAGCCGCGGUAAUACGUAGGGUGCAAGCGUUAAUCGGAAUUACUGGGCGUAAAGCGUGCGCAGGCGGUUUGCUAAGACCGAUGUGAAAUCCCCGGGCUCAACCUGGGAACUGCAUUGGUGACUGGCAGGCUAGAGUAUGGCAGAGGGGGGUAGAAUUCCACGUGUAGCAGUGAAAUGCGUAGAGAUGUGGAGGAAUACCGAUGGCGAAAGGCAGCCCCCUGGGCAAAUACUGACGCUCAUGCACGAAAGCGUGGGGAGCAAACAGGAUUAGAUACCCUGGUAGUCCACGCCCUAAACGAUGUCAACUAGUUGUUGGGGAUUCAUUCCUUAGUAACGUAGCUAACGCGUGAAGUUGACCGCC